RNAcentral lists this ribosomal RNA (2973 nucleotides) under human gut metagenome. RNAcentral describes it as "bacterial LSU rRNA". It matches the Rfam family "Bacterial large subunit ribosomal RNA". The record is from RNAcentral.
GCAAGAUACCACGGGCGCACGGCGGAUGCCUUGGCACAGGGAGCCGAUGAAGGACGCGGCAAGCUGCGAUAAUCCCCGGCGAGGAGCACACAUCCUUCGACCCGGGGGUCUCCGAAUGGGCGAACCCAUCCACAGCAGUGUGGAUAUCCCCCCGCUGAACACAUAGGCGGGGGGAGGACAACCCGGGGAACUGAAACAUCUAAGUACCCGGAGGAGAGGAAAUCAAUCUCGAGACUCCCCGAGUAGCGGCGAGCGAAAGGGGACCGAUGGCCAAACCGUCGAGCGGGCAUACCCGGCAGGGGUUCCGCCGACGGGGUUGCAGGGCCGCGCAUCCGGGGGCUGCCGCCCCCGGGCGCAGGUCCGGCUGGGGAGCGGAACGGCAUGGGAGGGCCGGCCGCAGCGGGUGACAGCCCCGUACGCGAACCCAGACCGGACGGCGCGACGCGGUCCCUGAGUAGGGCCGGGCACGUGAAACCCGGUCCGAACCUGGGUGGACCACCAUCCAAGCCUGAGUACUACCCUGUGACCGAUAGCGCACCAGUACCGUGAGGGAAAGGUGAAAAGCACCCCGGGAGGGGAGUGAAACAGUACCUGAAACCGUGCGCCCACGAGCAGUCGGAGCACCUAUAUGGUGUGACGGCGUGCCUUUUGUAGAAUGAGCCAGCGAGUCGCUGGCGCGGGGCGAGGUUAACCGAAAGGGAGCCGGAGCGAAAGCGAGCCUUAACAGGGCGACUUGAGUCCCGCGCCGCGGACGCGAAGCCGGGUGAGCUAUCCGUGGGCAGGCUGAAGCGGGGGUAAGACCCCGUGGAGGGCCGAACGCACGUCGGUUGAAAACGGCGGCGAUGACCUGCGGAUAGGGGUGAAAGGCCAAUCAAACCCGGAGAUAUCUCGUUCUCCCCGAAAUAGCUUUAGGGCUAGCGUCGCGCGUUCACCGCCGGAGGUAGAGCACCGGAUGGACGAGGGGGCUUCGCCGCCUACCGAAUCCAACCGAACUCCGAAUGCCGGCGGCCCAGAGCGCGGCAGUCAGAGCAUGUGGGCUAAGCUGUGUGCUCGAGAGGGAAACAGCCCGGACCGCCCGCUAAGGUCCCCAAGUUCCAGCCGAGUGGCAAAGGAUGUGCGUCCGCCCAGACAACCAGGAUGUUGGCUUAGAAGCAGCCAUCCAUUCAAAGAGUGCGUAACAGCUCACUGGUCGAGUGGACAUGCGCCGACAAUACACGGGGCUAAGCUGGACACCGAAGCGGCGGGAUUUUAUCUAUAUAGAAUCGGUAGGGGAGCUUCCCAUGGGCGGUGAAGCCGGAGGGCGACCGACGGUGGAGCGCAUGGGAGUGAGAAUGCUGGCAUGAGUAGCGAGAGACGAGAGAGUAACUCGUCCGCCGUGAACCCGAGGUUUCCUGGGCAAGGCUAAUCCUCCCAGGGUCAGUCGGGGGCUAAGGCGAGGCCGGGAGGCGUAGCCGACGCGCAGCAGGCAGACAUUCCUGCACCGCGCACGCGGCGCUACGACCGACGGGGCGACGGAUGGGGGUGGCUCGGCGGGGUUCUGGACGUCCCCGUGAUGGAGCGCGGCCCGCGGACCAGGGAAAUCCGGUCCGCACGAGGGCGAGGCUCCGGACGAAGCGAUUGAGCGAAGCGAGUGAGCCCGAGGUCCCUAGAAAAACCCCUAGGCAGGCGCGUGCGCGCCCGUACCGCAAACCGACACAGGUGGGUGGGUAGAACAUACCGAGGCGAUCGGGUCAACCAUGGUCAAGGAACUCGGCACAAUGGCCCCGUAACUUCGGGAGAAGGGGUGCCCGCGCGUACGUGAACGGACUUGCUCCGGGAGCGGAGGCGGGCCGCAGUGGAGAGGCCCAAGCGACUGUUUACCAAAAACACAGGACUCUGCAGAAGCCGCAAGGCGACGUAUAGGGUCUGACGCCUGCCCGGUGCCGGAAGGUCACGCGGAGGAGUUAGCCGAUUCGGCGAAGCCCCGAAGCCAAGCCCCGGUAAACGGCGGCCGUAACUAUAACGGUCCUAAGGUAGCGAAAUUCCUUGUCGGGUAAGUUCCGACCUGCACGAAAGGCGCAACGACUUGGGCGCUGUCUCGACCAUGGACCCGGUGAAAUUGCACUGGUCGUGAAGAUGCGACUUACCCGCGGAAGGACGGAAAGACCCCGUGAACCUUCACUGCAGCUUGGCAUUGGCCGCUGGUCCCGCGUGUAGAGGAUAGGCAGGAGGCACAGAUCCGGAGGCGCCAGCCCCCGGGGAGCCGCCCUUGGAAUACUGCCCUCGCGCGACCGGCGUCCUAACCCGAGGCCGUCAACCGGCUCGGGGACCGUGCCAGGCGGGCAGUUUGACUGGGGCGGUCGCCUCCUAAAGGGUAACGGAGGCGCGCGAAGGUCCGCUCGGGACGGUCGGCAACCGUCCUUUUGAAUGCAAGAGUACAAGCGGGCUUGACUGCGAGGCCCACAAGCCGAGCAGGUGCGAAAGCAGGCUCUAGUGAUCCGGCGGCCCCGAGUGGGUGGGCCGUCGCUCAACGGAUAAAAGGUACUCCGGGGAUAACAGGCUGAUCUUGCCCAAGAGUCCACAUCGACGGCAAGGUUUGGCACCUCGAUGUCGGCUCAUCGCAUCCUGGGGCUGGAGCAGGUCCCAAGGGUACGGCUGUUCGCCGUUUAAAGCGGUACGCGAGCUGGGUUCAGAACGUCGUGAGACAGUUCGGUCCCUAUCCUCCGUGGGCGCAGGAGAAUCGAUGGAGGCUGCCCCCAGUACGAGAGGACCGGGGUGGACGCACCUCCGGUGAACCGGUUGUCGACCAACGGCACGGCCGGGUAGCCGCGUGCGGCGCGGAUAACCGCUGAAGGCAUCUAAGCGGGAAGCCGUUCCAGGGAUUAGUUCUCCUUCCGGUAAGGGCCCAGGUAGACUACCUGGUCGAUAGACGGCAGGUGCAAGGACGGCGACGUCCUCAGCCGAGCCGCACUAAUCGCCCGAGCUCUUCCGGAA